AGUGGGAUAACUGGGUCAAAUGGUAGUUCCAUUCCAAAUUUUCUGAGGAAUCUCCAUAAUGCUUUCCAGAGUGGUUGCACCAAUUUGUAGCCUCACCAGAAAU
Molecule: microRNA precursor, 103 nt
Filed under: Marmota monax (woodchuck)
Lineage: Eukaryota; Metazoa; Chordata; Mammalia; Rodentia; Sciuridae
Source: RNAcentral